UUUCAAAGACGCAAGCUUACAUGAAAAAGAAGUAAAGAACCUAGUUUGCUGGGUCUCAUCUUAUGGUAUUAUUGUUCUAUGCACAUUUUCUAUCUGUAGGGAAUGGCCAAUGUGCUCUUUGACAUUAAGCCCAAAGAGAAGCCAUUCCCUUUUAUGAACAAUGGUCAGAUAAGAACAUUCCCAAAUCUUUAUAUAAUGCUUACUCG
Molecule: unclassified non-coding RNA, 206 nt
Filed under: Hevea brasiliensis (rubber tree)
Lineage: Eukaryota; Viridiplantae; Streptophyta; Magnoliopsida; Malpighiales; Euphorbiaceae
Source: RNAcentral